CUCCGAUUUAGGGUUUCUCACAAAACAUCCUUACUAUCCGCCGGCGAUUCAAGAUCUAGGGUUUGUCUCCAAGGCGAUUCAAGAUCUAGCAUUUCUCAUUGACACCAGAUCGAUGAAUCUAUCUCUAUCCGACAUCAUAUUGACUGAAUUUGACCUCUCGACAACUUAUAUUGAACCGAUUUGGAGUUGGGUUUCGGUAAGAAAAGGAUUAAAAAAUUUUAACGAGUCACG
Molecule: long non-coding RNA, 231 nt
Organism: Helianthus annuus (common sunflower)
Lineage: Eukaryota; Viridiplantae; Streptophyta; Magnoliopsida; Asterales; Asteraceae
Exons: 3
Source: RefSeq, a predicted model, not a curated record